UUCAAACAGGAGUCAUGCGUUGGACAGUUAUCCUGAACUUAAUAAUAAGGCAAGCUAGCGCAAAAAUUCCUGUCGCUGCUUGCCGGUCCCGGCGGGCAGCAAUCCCAC
This 108-nucleotide non-coding RNA is filed under the name Yokenella regensburgei. RNAcentral describes it as "Salmonella mgtC leader RNA". It matches the Rfam family "Salmonella mgtC leader RNA". Lineage: Bacteria; Pseudomonadati; Pseudomonadota; Gammaproteobacteria; Enterobacterales; Enterobacteriaceae. The record is from RNAcentral.